UGGGGAAUCUUGCGCAAUGGGCGAAAGCCUGACGCAGCGACGCCGCGUGAGUGAUGAAGGCCUUCGGGUUGUAAAGCUCUGUGGAGGGGGACGAAUAAGGGCCGGCGAACACCCGGCUCGAUGACGGUACCCCUUUAGCAAGCACCGGCUAACUCUGUGCCAGCAGCCGCGGUAAGACAGAGGGUGCAAACGUUGUUCGGAAUUACUGGGCGUAAAGCGCGUGUAGGCUGUUCGGAAAGUCGGAUGUGAAAGCCCUGGGCUCAACCCAGGAAGUGCAUUCGAAACUCCCGAACUGGAGUCCUGGAGAGGAAGGCGGAAUUCUCGGUGUAGAGGUGAAAUUCGUAGAUAUCGAGAGGAACAUCGGUGGCGAAGGCGGCCUUCUGGACAGUGACUGACGCUGAGACGCGAAAGCGUGGGGAGCAAACAG
Molecule: ribosomal RNA, 427 nt
Filed under: uncultured bacterium
Lineage: Bacteria
Description: bacterial SSU rRNA
Rfam family: Bacterial small subunit ribosomal RNA
Source: RNAcentral